AUUCAAACAGGAAGUGCUAAUUUAAAGUGACGUUAGGGAAGUGAUAAUACCACUAUAAAUGGAUAAAUAUACACAUGGUUCAAAAGGUUUCCUGUUGUAUUUGUUUUAUUUUAUGUGUCUUGUAUCUGUCUAUGUAGCGUAGUUUAACAGUUUGUUUUAUGUCAUUGGUAGGCUUUUCAUAUAAAUGAGUAAUUACAAUUGACAGGUUUCGGUACGUGUUUUAUCCCAGGAUAGGAGAGUGAGUUUAGUGGGCCACAUCCUGGUAAGUCUUGUUGUCCCUGUUUCAGGAUGUGUGAUGUGUUGUUGACCACCUUCAUCAGCUGGGGGCACCCUGUCAGGAGGUCUAGGGUCCAGUUGUAGAGAGAGGUCUUCAGUCCCAGGGUCCUGUCAGGACGUCCGAGUCCAGUUGUAGAAAGAGGUCUUCAGUCCAGGGUCCUGUCAGGAGGUCUAGGGUCCAGUUGUAGAGAGAGGUCUUCAGUCCCAGGGUCCUGUCAGGACGUCCGAGUCCAGUUGUAGAAAGAGGUCUUCAGACCAAGGUCCUGUCAGGAGAUCCGAGUCCAGUUGUAGAAAGAGGUCUUCAGUCC
Molecule: long non-coding RNA, 584 nt
Organism: Esox lucius (northern pike)
Lineage: Eukaryota; Metazoa; Chordata; Actinopteri; Esociformes; Esocidae
Source: Ensembl